This 856-nucleotide long non-coding RNA is filed under the name Monodelphis domestica (gray short-tailed opossum). RNAcentral describes it as "lncRNA (ENSMODG00000040884.1)". The record is from RNAcentral. Lineage: Eukaryota; Metazoa; Chordata; Mammalia; Didelphimorphia; Didelphidae.
AAUCAGGCUCUGCUGGAAUCUGUUAAUUUUUUUUAAAUUUAAUAUUUUACGUACAUCUCUAUUAUGCUUUCCUCGAUAUCAACCCAGGUUUUCAGGUGCACUGAAUUCUGGGUGCAUUUGGGGGCAGGGACAACUGAUAUUAGCAUACUCACACUAAUUUCAUCUUUUCACAAAUUCAGAGCAGAUUAAUUGGUAGCUCAUUAGCACCAAAGAUUCCCCCUCCCCUCCUCAGCUAUUGCCAGGGAGGAGGUGUAGGGUCCAAGUGGCCUGAAACCAUUCAGCUGUAAGGGGCCACUCUCUGUUCCUUAGACAUUCAAGGCUUACUCCUUUUGCUCAGGAUGCCCUUCGCUCUCUCGUCCCUUUUCUCAUCUUUGGAAAGGAGAAGCUGCUUCAGAGGAAGUAUCCUCCCAGACCAGGAUACCAGGAGCCAGGAUGACCUUCCUCUCUCUGGACCUCAUUGACCUCAGCUGUGAAAGGAUGGGAUUUGGCCAGAAAAUCUCCAAGAUCUCUUCUGGCUCCCCUUGUCUAUGAUUCUAUGGUUCUGCGGUUCUGCCUCCAAGCUCAUCAUUGAAAAAUGCCCUUCAGGAUUCUUGUGUCUGCCAUUCCACCAUCCUGCCAUCCCAAGGAGAGGUCCUGCUUGUGGAGCCCAGGCUGGAUAAUGCUGUAAGACUAGAAAAGUAUCAAGGAUGGUCUCAGAGAUGGAGCAAGUCUACUGUUCAAGGACUCAGCCUUGCUAACUUGUGAAAGGGGCUCAUCACCAAUAUGCUGAACCAUGGGGGAUGAGUUCUUUGGCCAUGGAAACCCAUGACACACCAAGAGGAAUAAAAACUAGGCACCAGCUCUUAUUGAGCUUUGU